GAUGAAGAACGUAGCGAAAUGCGAUACUUGGUGUGAAUUGCAGAAUCCCGUGAACCAUCGAGUCUUUGAACGCAAGUUGCGCCCGAAGCCAUUAGGCCGAGGGCACGCCUGCCUGGGCGUCACACGUCGUUGCCCCCCCAUCUACUCCUUCGGGAUUGCGGGGGGCGGAUGAUGGCCUCCCGUGCGCCUCGUCGCGCGGUUGGCAUAAAUGCCAAGUCCUCGGCGACGCACGCCACGACAAUCGGUGGUUGCGAAACCUCGGUUGCCCGUCGUGUGCGGUCGUCGCGCAUCGAGAGCUCGAAAAAAUUGCCGGGCUCCGGCUCGGCUUUCAACGCGACCCCAGGUCAGGCGGGGUUACCCGCUGAAUUUAUGCAUAUCAAUAAGCGGAGGA
Molecule: unclassified non-coding RNA, 391 nt
Filed under: soil metagenome
Description: partial contains 5.8S ribosomal RNA, internal transcribed spacer 2, and large subunit ribosomal RNA
Rfam family: 5.8S ribosomal RNA (bases 1-122)
Source: RNAcentral